CCUACGGGAGGCAGCAGUGAGGAAUAUUGGUCAAUGGGCGGGAGCCUGAACCAGCCAAGUCGCGUGAGGGAAGACGGUCCUAUGGAUUGUAAACCUCUUUAGGCGGGGAGCAAGGCCGGGCACGUGUGCCCGGAGGGAGAGUACCCGCAGAAGAAGCAGCGGCUAACGCCGUGCCAGCAGCCGCGGUAAUACGGAGGAUGCGAGCGUUAUCAGGAUGGAUUGGGUUUAAAGGGUGCGUAGGCGGAUUUUUAAGUCAGCGGUAAACUGUCCGGGCUCAACCCGGGCCGGCCGUUGAAACUGGGGAUCUUGAGUGGGCGAGAAGUAUGUGGAAUUCGUGGUGUAGCGGUGAAAUGCCUAGAUAUCACGCAGAACUCCGAUUGCGAAGGCAGCAUACCGGCGCCCGACUGACGCUGAGGCACGAAAGCGUGGGGAUCGAACAGGAUUAGAUACCCCUGUAGUC
This 460-nucleotide ribosomal RNA is filed under the name uncultured bacterium. Its description in RNAcentral is "partial 16S ribosomal RNA". It matches the Rfam family "Bacterial small subunit ribosomal RNA", at positions 338 to 795 of the family's 1533-position model. The record is from RNAcentral.